ACGGGGUAGUUCAACGGUUAGAACAACGAUCUCCAAAAUCGUGGAUGACAGUUCAAAUCUGUCCCUCAGUG
This 71-nucleotide transfer RNA is filed under the name Protostelium mycophagum. Its description in RNAcentral is "tRNA-Trp". It matches the Rfam family "tRNA". From Rfam's summary of the family: Transfer RNA (tRNA) molecules are approximately 80 nucleotides in length. Lineage: Eukaryota; Evosea; Variosea; Protosteliida; Protosteliaceae. The record is from RNAcentral.